GACGAACGCUGGCGGCGUGCCUAAUACAUGCAAGUAGAACGCUGAAGGAGGAGCUUGCUUCUCUGGAUGAGUUGCGAACGGGUGAGUAACGCGUAGGUAACCUGCCUGGUAGCGGGGGAUAACUAUUGGAAACGAUAGCUAAUACCGCAUAAGAGUAGAUGUUGCAUGACAUUUGCUUAAAAGGUGCAAUUGCAUCACUACCAGAUGGACCUGCGUUGUAUUAGCUAGUUGGUGGGGUAACGGCUCACCAAGGCGACGAUACAUAGCCGACCUGAGAGGGGGGUCGGCCACACUUGGACUGGGACACGGCCCAGACUCCUACGGGAGGCAGCAGGAGGGAAUCUUCGGCAAUGGACGGAAGGCUGACCGGGCAACGCCGCGUGAGGGAAGGAGGGUUUCGGAUCGUAAAGCUCCGUUGUAAGGGAAGAACGAGUGUGAUAGUGGAAAGUUCACACUGUGACGGUAUCUUACCAGAAAGGGACGGCUAACUACGUG
RNAcentral lists this ribosomal RNA (495 nucleotides) under uncultured bacterium. RNAcentral describes it as "partial 16S ribosomal RNA". It matches the Rfam family "Bacterial small subunit ribosomal RNA", at positions 28 to 507 of the family's 1533-position model. The record is from RNAcentral.